ACACUUAGAUAUUUAGCCACCGGAAGGGAUUACAAAGACCUUAGAUACAGUGCAAUAAUUUCACAUCAACUGUUGUCGGAAAUAAUUCCAGAAACUUGUUGGGCUAUCUACAAGGCAUUAAGAAAAACAAUUAGGCUGCCAUCUACGCAAGAAGAAUGGAAAGCAACUGCACAGUUAUUUGAGGAUCAGUGGCAAUUCCAUAAUUGUGUUGGCUGUAUGGACGGAAAACAUAUUUUGAUACUAAAACCACCUGGAAGUGGAUCUGUAUAUUAUAACUACAAAGGCACUUUCAGUGUUGUCUUAUUUGCUGUAGUUAAUUCUAAUUACGAGUUUAUGUAUGUACACACUGGAUCAAACGGAAGCAUGUCAGAUGGAGGAAUUAUAAAAAAUACAUUGUUUUAUGAAAAACUCAUGAAAAAGGAAAUAAAUUUGCCAGAGUCGUAUCUACUACCCGGGACUGAUGUUUCUGUGCCCUAUGUAUUUUUGGCAGAUAGUGCUUUUGCGCUUGAUGCUCAUGUUAUGAAGCCCUUUCCCGAAAGAAACAUUACAAGGGAACAAAGAAUAUUUAACUACAGACUAAGCCGAGCCAGAAGAGUGGUCGAAAACGCUUUUGGUAUACUUGCGUCUCGAUUUAGAGUAUUCCAGCGACCCAUGAAUCUCAAUCUUGAAAACGUAGAUGCAGUUGUCCUAGCAACUUGUGCCUUGCAUAAUUUCUUAAGGAAGAAGUCAAGAACCUAUUUGACAUCAACGUGUGUCGAUAAUGAAGACACAGAUAGAGGUGUAGUAAACAAUGGUGCUUGGCGUCAAGAUGGCAAUGUACUUACAUCUGUCCAAAAUAACUUUCAGAGACAUAUGAAUAACGGAAAGCAGGUUAGAAACGUUUUAACCGGUUACUUUAAUGGUGAAGGUAGCGUCCCAUUUCAAUAUAGAAUGGCAAAUGUAGUGCCUACGUGAAUCUAUAAUGAUGUGUGAAUUUAUUCUACAAAUAUAAGUACCUACGUACUUUAUAUGAGGAAUCCGUUGUUUAAUUUUCGAUGUAAUUCAAGAUGCUUCCUGUAACAGGAGCAAUAAAUUAAACUAAAGGCUGUACUCCUCAAACUGACCAACAUUUGUUCAGCAACUUUUAAAAAUUAUGAAUCCUUUAGACUUCCUCUUUUUCAUACAAAAUAAAUAUUGCCUUCAUUGUACGCUGACAUCAGUGUGUUUGACGUUACUUGUCACGCUUUUAACAUGACAAAAUUUGCAAUACAUUGCGUCUUAGAAUAAACUUUAAAGUGUAAUAAAAAUCAAACCAUGAGUUAUUUUCAAAAGUUGCUGAACAAAUGUUCGUCAGUUUGAGGAGUACAGCCUUCAGUUUAAUUUAUUGCUCCUGUUACAGAAAACACACUUUAUAAAUUUUACAGUUAGGUCAAGAAAUGAAUGCUCAAAAAACGUUGUAGAGGGAAAUGCUAGGAACACAAUUUUUGACUCCGUAACUUUGUUUGGACUAGUUAGGAGGUGAACAUAUCAAAAGUCCCUGGCUGUAGCCCCGCUGCUGGGGGGUAGAGGGGGGUAAGAAGGUCGAAUUUUUCGGUUUUUCAUUGAUAUCUUGGAAACUUUGCGUCUUAGCGACAUGACUACUAAGACAAACCGAAAGCUGAUAAAAUUAGUUACAAGUUUUAUUCAGUCAAGUUUUUCGACAUCAUGAAUAGUUUUUGAGAUACCCGCUCUUGAAAGUUUAUUUAGGGAUUUUAAUUUUAUCUUGAUAUCUACGUCAGUGAAGCUGUUAGGCCAUGUUUGGUAUCAUUUUCGUAUAAAUCGGGGGUGCUGAAUUCAUUUAUGGUAUCACAUUGACACUAUUCCGAAGUAAUACCAAAGUUUAAAAAAAAAAUAUUUUUUUAAAUCCCUCUUCACGCUUAAACCGCUGAACCAAUUUCGUUGUAAUUUGGUAUAGAAAUAGUUUCAGUCUCGACACAGAACAUAGGAUAGUUUUAAUAACCAAAAGCAUCUUUUGAGGGUGUGAAAAGUGGGGUGGAAGUUUGUAUGGGGAGUCAAUAACCGCUGAACCGGUUUAGAUGAAAUUUAGGACGGAAUACAUCUGUGAUUUAGAUGAAAAUGAUACCAAACGUGACUUCAAACCUUACCUUGAGCAGUAUUAACCUCAGGAAUUCAGUUUCGUCGACGAAGUUGAAUUCCCCCCAUACUCCAUUUCACAACUUUAAAGGAUGAUUAUUGAGAUAAAAUGUAUCUUAUGUCCUGUCUUGGGACUCGAAAUAUCUGUAUACCAAAUUUCAAUUAAAUCGGUUGAGCGGUUUAAGCGUGAAGAGGAA
Long non-coding RNA from Cydia splendana, 2309 nucleotides. RefSeq lists it as uncharacterized. Lineage: Eukaryota; Metazoa; Arthropoda; Insecta; Lepidoptera; Tortricidae. The transcript has 2 exons. The record is from RefSeq and is a predicted model, not a curated record.